Molecule: ribosomal RNA, 889 nt
Filed under: uncultured Fluviicola sp.
Lineage: Bacteria; Pseudomonadati; Bacteroidota; Flavobacteriia; Flavobacteriales; Crocinitomicaceae
Description: bacterial SSU rRNA
Rfam family: Bacterial small subunit ribosomal RNA
Source: RNAcentral
GAUGAACGCUAGCGGCAGGCCUAACACAUGCAAGUCGAGGGGCAGCAUAAAAUUAGCUUGCUAAUUUGGUGGCGACCGGCGCACGGGUGAGUAACGCGUAUGCAACCUACCCUAUUCUGGGGGAUAGCCCGAAGAAAUUCGGAUUAAUACCCCAUGGUACUGAGAAAUGGCAUCAUUUUUUAGUUAAAGGUUACGGAAUAGGAUGGGCAUGCGUCCCAUUAGCUAGAUGGUAAGGUAACGGCUUACCAUGGCGACGAUGGGUAGGGGGUCUGAGAGGAUGGUCCCCCACACUGGUACUGAGACACGGACCAGACUCCUACGGGAGGCAGCAGUGAGGAAUAUUGGUCAAUGGGCGAGAGCCUGAACCAGCCAUGCCGCGUGCAGGAAGAAUGCCCUAUGGGUUGUAAACUGCUUUUAUUUGGGAAUAAACCUCUUUACGCGUAAGGAGCUGAAGGUACCAAAUGAAUAAGCACCGGCUAACUCCGUGCCAGCAGCCGCGGUAAUACGGAGGGUGCAAGCGUUAUCCGGAAUCAUUGGGUUUAAAGGGUCCGCAGGCGGAUUUAUAAGUCAGUGGUGAAAGCCUAUUGCUCAACAAUAGAACUGCCAUUGAUACUGUAGGUCUUGAAUUCGGUCGAAGUGGGCGGAAUAUGACAUGUAGCGGUGAAAUGCUUAGAUAUGUCAUAGAACACCGAUAGCGAAGGCAGCUCACUAGGCCUGGAUUGACGCUCAGGGACGAAAGCGUGGGGAGCAAACAGAAUUAGAUACCCUGGUAGUCCACGCCGUAAACUAUGAUUACUCGUUCUCGGCGAUAUACAGUCGGGGACUAAGCGAAAGUGAUAAGUAAUCCACCUGGGGAGUACGAUCGCAAGGUUGAAACACAAAUGAAUUG